AACGAACGCUGGCGGCAUGCCUAACACAUGCAAGUCGAACGAGACCUUCGGGUCUAGUGGCGCACGGGUGCGUAACGCGUGGGAAUCUACCCUUGGGUUCGGAAUAACAGUUAGAAAUGACUGCUAAUACCGGAUGAUGACGUAAGUCCAAAGAUUUAUCGCCCAAGGAAUGAGCCCGCGUAAGCUUAGCUUGUUGGUGGGGUAAUGGCCUACCAAGCCGACGAGCUUUAGCUGGUCUGAGCGGAUGAUCAGCCACACUGGGACUGAGACACGGCCCAGACUCCUACGGGAGGAAGCAGUGGGGAAUAUUGGACAAUGGGCGAGAGCCUGAUCCAGCAAUGCCGCGUGAGUGAUGAAGGCCUUAGGGUUGUAAAGCUCUUUUACCAGGGAUGAUAAUGACAGUACCUGGAGAAUAAGCUCCGGCUAACUCCGUGCCAGCAGCCGCAGUAA
RNAcentral lists this ribosomal RNA (450 nucleotides) under uncultured bacterium. RNAcentral describes it as "partial 16S ribosomal RNA". It matches the Rfam family "Bacterial small subunit ribosomal RNA", at positions 29 to 523 of the family's 1533-position model. The record is from RNAcentral.